This is a long non-coding RNA of Theobroma cacao (cacao), 401 nucleotides long. RefSeq lists it as uncharacterized. The record is from RefSeq and is a predicted model, not a curated record. Lineage: Eukaryota; Viridiplantae; Streptophyta; Magnoliopsida; Malvales; Malvaceae.
AAACUGUGGAUUAAAGAUUGUCCUGUUUUGAGUGAAAGAUGCAAACCGGAAAGCGGAGAGGAUUGGCCCAACAUUGCUCAUGUCUCUCGUAUAUAUCUGGACGGUGAUGAAGUUUCAUCUAAACAAUCAUCGGCCCCAUGAUUUGGGCAUAUCUCCAUUUUAUUGGUAUUGGGACUGGAUGGAAGUACAGUUGCUGUAAUCCCUGAAAUAGAGUGGAGGGGGUGUGCUUGGGCUUGGCUUCUCAUUUCUCCUACUUGUUGGCUUGUAUUAUGUCUACCUACUUGUGUUAUGAACAUACAUACUUGAUGUUUGUUAAUGUACUUAAAUUCCUUUGCUUUGGAUUGUUCAUGUGAUCCCUACUCUUUAUUUGUUGGUUUGUUGUAUUGCCUUUGGAUUCAAAA